RNAcentral lists this ribosomal RNA (465 nucleotides) under Vreelandella stevensii. RNAcentral's name for it is "partial 16S ribosomal RNA". It matches the Rfam family "Bacterial small subunit ribosomal RNA", at positions 338 to 795 of the family's 1533-position model. The record is from RNAcentral. Lineage: Bacteria; Pseudomonadati; Pseudomonadota; Gammaproteobacteria; Oceanospirillales; Halomonadaceae.
CCUACGGGAAGCUGCAGUGGGGAAUAUUGGACAAUGGGGGCAACCCUGAUCCAGCCAUGCCGCGUGUGUGAAGAAGGCCCUCGGGUUGUAAAGCACUUUCAGUGAGGAAGAACGCCUGGUGGUUAAUACCCAUCAGGAAAGACAUCACUCACAGAAGAAGCACCGGCUAACUCCGUGCCAGCAGCCGCGGUAAUACGGAGGGUGCGAGCGUUAAUCGGAAUUACUGGGCGUAAAGCGCGCGUAGGUGGCUUGAUAAGCCGGUUGUGAAAGCCCCGGGCUCAACCUGGGAACGGCAUCCGGAACUGUCAAGCUAGAGUGCAGGAGAGGAAGGUAGAAUUCCCGGUGUAGCGGUGAAAUGCGUAGAGAUCGGGAGGAAUACCAGUGGCGAAGGCGGCCUUCUGGACUGACACUGACGCUGAGGUGCGAAAGCGUGGGUAGCAAACAGGAUUAGAUACCCUAGUAGUC